This 475-nucleotide ribosomal RNA is filed under the name Rhinella margaritifera (mitred toad). RNAcentral's name for it is "partial large subunit ribosomal RNA". It matches the Rfam family "Bacterial large subunit ribosomal RNA", at positions 1973 to 2603 of the family's 2925-position model. Lineage: Eukaryota; Metazoa; Chordata; Amphibia; Anura; Bufonidae. The record is from RNAcentral.
UCUUUAAAUGAGGACUAGUAUGAAUGGCACUACGAGGGUUAUACUGUCUCCUUUCUCUAAUCAGUGAAACUAAUUUUCCCGUGAAGAAGCGGGGAUAUAUUUAUAAGACGAGAAGACCCUAUGGAGCUUUAAACAACUCAGCAAUUUCUCCUAAACUCACAAAUUUCAGAAUGUUCAUUUUUUAAGAAAUAUGUCUGCAAGUUUUUGGUUGGGGUGACCAUGGAGAAUAAUAUAACCUCCAUAUUGAAUGAAUUUUUUUUAAGCUAAAAACUACCAAUUAAAGCAUCAAUACACUGACAUUUAUUGACCCAAUAUAUUUGAUCAACGAACCAAGUUACCCUAGGGAUAACAGCGCAAUCUACUUCAAGAGCCCCUAUCGACAAGUGGGUUUACGACCUCGAUGUUGGAUCAGGGUAUCCCAGUGGCGCAGCCGCUACUAAAGGUUCGUUUGUUCAACGAUUUAAACCCUACGUGA